UUAUUUUACUAUUUUGUGUAAUAUUAUUAUUAUAAAUCAUAUAUCUCUAAUGCAUAAAAAAUGAAUAAUGUUGAGAAGGUUAAAUGGAGUACAGAAAAUGUAGUGUUAUUUUUAAAUUUAUGUGGAUGAAGUUAUCGCUGAAAAUCACCCUGGUACUCACUUCAACAAAACUAGAUGGAUUAAUUUGGUGAUAAGAUUCAAUGCUAGAACCGAAAAGAAUUAUGACAAAGUCAAAUUGAAGAAUAAAUGGGAUAAUCUUAAAACCACUUGGAAGAAUGGGACGCUUUAGUUGAAAAGAAAACUAAUUUAGGAUGGGAUAGGGAGAGAAAAAUCAUUCAAGCAAGUGUCGAAUGGUGGGAUAAAAUAAAUAAAGAUGUAGAGAAAUUUAAAGAAAAAGGCUUACAAUAUCGAACUCAGAUGGAGAUAUAUUUUAAGGAUGUUAUUACUACUGGAGAACAUGCGUGGGCACCAUUAUCUGGAUUUUUACAAGAUGGUAUAUAAGGGAGUAGAUGGUUUUAAUCUGAGCAACCAUUUAAGUGUGUGAGAGUGAUACUAGAAGAAAAAAAAAAGUAUCAACAGAAACGAAAAAAACUAAUCCAAGUCAGAAAAUUAGAUCAUCAAUGGAGAGAAUGUUGAUGCUAUUGAAUCACACACUUCAACGGAAUCGACAGAAACUUCACUUAGUAUUAAGAGUGUAAUGACUAUAGUUCGUAAUUUUUCUGGUAUGUUGUUGGUAGUGAUUUAUGGUGAAAAGCGAGUGAUUCACUUGUCAAAUAAUUAAUAAGAGAAAUAUUCUUAGCACAAGAAGAUGCAGAAUUGCAAUUGCAAUGGUUGGAAAGGAAGACCAUGCUUCAUAAGAAUUAGAUUUAUGAUGUUAUUUAUUAUGAUUUGCUAAUAAAACAUAUGCUUUUUUUUCUUUUAA
This is a long non-coding RNA of Capsicum annuum, 922 nucleotides long. RefSeq lists it as uncharacterized. Lineage: Eukaryota; Viridiplantae; Streptophyta; Magnoliopsida; Solanales; Solanaceae. The transcript is spliced from 2 exons. The record is from RefSeq and is a predicted model, not a curated record.